This 77-nucleotide transfer RNA is filed under the name Thermaerobacter marianensis DSM 12885. RNAcentral's name for it is "tRNA-Ile". It matches the Rfam family "tRNA". Rfam says of the family: Transfer RNA (tRNA) molecules are approximately 80 nucleotides in length. Their secondary structure includes four short double-helical elements and three loops (D, anti-codon, and T loops). Further hydrogen bonds mediate the characteristic L-shaped molecular structure. tRNAs have two regions of fundamental functional importance: the anti-codon, which is responsible for specific mRNA codon recognition, and the 3' end, to which the tRNAs corresponding amino acid is attached (by aminoacyl-tRNA synthetases). tRNAs cope with the degeneracy of the genetic code in two manners: having more than one tRNA (with a specific anti-codon) for a particular amino acid; and 'wobble' base-pairing, i.e. permitting non-standard base-pairing at the 3rd anti-codon position. Lineage: Bacteria; Bacillati; Bacillota; Clostridia; Eubacteriales; Clostridiales Family XVII. Incertae Sedis. The record is from RNAcentral.
GGGGAUAUAGCUCAGUUGGUCAGAGCGCACCCCUGAUAAGGGUGAGGUCGGUAGUUCGAAUCUACCUAUCCCCACUA